AGAUGGCAGUGUUUCAUGUAGCCUUUCAUUUGCAGCAUAACAUUCUUGAAAAGGCAGAAGUUGUUAUUGGUCCAUAUCUGGAGGGAGGGAAUCACUGGACUUUCUUUCACUGCAACAUCGUGGAUAGAACAAUAACCUACCUAAAUUCCUUUGGUGAGCAGAAAGAGAAUUGUCAGAAAAUAGCUGAGAAUUGGAGGAUGUUUGCCACAGCAAAGGGAAUCCCAGGAACAUGGGACAUUUGCACAAGGGAGCAUGCCAUUCAGAGAGAUAUCAUUUCUUGUGGCAUCUUUACAGCUGUG
Long non-coding RNA from Xyrauchen texanus (razorback sucker), 299 nucleotides. RefSeq lists it as uncharacterized. The transcript is spliced from 3 exons. The record is from RefSeq and is a predicted model, not a curated record. Lineage: Eukaryota; Metazoa; Chordata; Actinopteri; Cypriniformes; Catostomidae.